RNAcentral lists this ribosomal RNA (428 nucleotides) under uncultured bacterium. RNAcentral describes it as "bacterial SSU rRNA". It matches the Rfam family "Bacterial small subunit ribosomal RNA", at positions 355 to 775 of the family's 1533-position model. The record is from RNAcentral.
UGGGGAAUUGUUCGCAAUGGGCGCAAGCCUGACGACGCAACGCCGCGUGGAGGAUGAAGAUCUUCGGGUCGUAAACUCCUUUCGAUCGAGACGAACGGCUCCCGUGCUAAUCAACGGGAGAGUGACGGUACCGAGAGAAGAAGCCCCGGCUAACUCCGUGCCAGCAGCCGCGGUAAUACGGGGGGGGCAAGCGUUGUUCGGAAUUACUGGGCGUAAAGGGCUCGUAGGCGGCCAACUAAGUCAGACGUGAAAUCCCUCGGCUUAACCGGGGAACUGCGUCUGAUACUGGAUGGCUUGAGGUUGGGAGAGGGAUGCGGAAUUCCAGGUGUAGCGGUGAAAUGCGUAGAUAUCUGGAGGAACACCGGUGGCGAAGGCGGCAUCCUGGACCAAUUCUGACGCUGAGGAGCGAAAGCCAGGGGAGCAAACGG